UACGUAGGGGGCUAGCGUUGUCCGGAAUCAUUGGGCGUAAAGAGCUCGUAGGCGGUUUGUCGCGUCUGCCGUGAAAGUCCGGGGCUCAACUCCGGAUCUGCGGUGGGUACGGGCAGACUAGAGUGAUGUAGGGGAGACUGGAAUUCCUGGUGUAGCGGUGAAAUGCGCAGAUAUCAGGAGGAACACCGAUGGCGAAGGCAGGUCUCUGGGCAUUAACUGACGCUGAGGAGCGAAAGCAUGGGGGAGCGAACAGG
Molecule: ribosomal RNA, 254 nt
Filed under: uncultured bacterium
Lineage: Bacteria
Description: partial 16S ribosomal RNA
Rfam family: Bacterial small subunit ribosomal RNA
Source: RNAcentral